AGGGUUUGAUUCUGGCUCAGGAUAAACGCUGGCGGCGCACAUAAGACAUGCAAGUCGAACGAACUUAAUUUUAAUAUUUAUAUUAAAAAGCGGUUAGUGGCGGACUGGUGAGUAACGCGUAAGCAAUCUGCCUAUCAGAGGGGAAUAACAGUGAGAAAUCAUUGCUAAUACCGCAUAUGCCAUAAGAAUCACAUGAUUCUAGUGGGAAAGGAGCAAUCCGCUGAUAGAUGAGCUUGCGUCUGAUUAGCUAGUUGGUGGGAUAACGGCCUACCAAGGCGACGAUCAGUAGCCGGACUGAGAGGUUGAACGGCCACAUUGGGACUGAGAUACGGCCCAG
This 337-nucleotide ribosomal RNA is filed under the name uncultured bacterium. RNAcentral describes it as "bacterial SSU rRNA". It matches the Rfam family "Bacterial small subunit ribosomal RNA", at positions 8 to 334 of the family's 1533-position model. The record is from RNAcentral.